Molecule: long non-coding RNA, 801 nt
Organism: Physella acuta
Lineage: Eukaryota; Metazoa; Mollusca; Gastropoda; Physidae
Source: RefSeq, a predicted model, not a curated record
CUGUGUGGAUCAGCCGACAAACUCAAUGAUAAUUGCUCCGACUUUUGAAUCUAUAAAUAGAAUAACAAAAGGAAGGAAACGAAAUUUUAAACUGAUUUCCGCCAUUACAAAAAUAACAUGAAACCUACAGUUCACGACACAUCGCAUAGGAAUUUAAAAUAAAUAUUAGGCCUAUAGGUUUAAUACAUAUUUCUUAGAAUAUAGAAAUUUAGAUCUAGUGUUCUGGUUAGUAGUUAUUUCAUGUUUAUUAGAAUAUAGUCUAGAUUCUAGAAUCUAAUCAUACGGCUGCAUAAAAAGAAAACCCAUCUAGAUCUAGAGAAGCGGAGUGUUUUCCGCACUCAAGAGGAAGGAGGUUGCAGGGAACUUAGAGACUAAUCUUUGCCAACAUACUGGAUUUCUGGUGAUGACAAUAGGAGCAAAUAGUAUGCGGCUCAGUUAAUACUAAAAACAAUUGAUUUUAGUAAUAAGUGGACUAUGAGUGUGUGUUUGGCCAUCCAGAUUUCAUAACUACAACUGAUGUUCAAUUACAAGGGAUAUUAAUCAGUCUCCGUGGACUAUACACUGUGCCUAGUUUCAUCCUCAGAGACUGAUGUGUAAGCUUAAAGUAAAGACAUCAAAUCAAAGUAUCAGCUAUCAAGAGGAAGAACAUUCAAAAUCAUAUUGUGAUACACAAAUCAAGCAAGUCUAUAACCAGCAAUAUGAUACAGGCCAAGAAAAAGCUGGAUAUUUGAUUGGAAGGGUGGCACAAAAAAGAUGGGUUAUCACUAGGGAAACAAGCUCGGAAUACAGUUCACUGUUGGG